RNAcentral lists this long non-coding RNA (355 nucleotides) under Numida meleagris (helmeted guineafowl). Its description in RNAcentral is "lncRNA (ENSNMEG00000019278.1)". The record is from RNAcentral. Lineage: Eukaryota; Metazoa; Chordata; Aves; Galliformes; Numididae.
AGUGGUGCUCCCCAUAUUUCAUAUGCAAAGAUGCUUCCCAACAGACUCUCCUUCUCCACAGUUUUGUUUAUCUAGCUCAUCCAAAUGCUUUCACAUUCCUAGAGUGAAAUAUUCUUCUUUCAGUCCCUGUUCCUCUUUCAAGAUCUUCCACUUCUACAUUACUUUACUUUUAUCAUUUUUCUCCAUUUCUUUUUUUCUAGAAAUCAGCAUUAAAGCAUGUAACGUGAUGGGAGCUCAUUUUGUCAAGUGGAAUACAAACAUGGCAGAAAAGGAAAACCUUCUCUGAACACUGAUUACUGCGCUGCAUUUUUGAACAUAUUAAUCCAGAAUAAAAGAGCUCUUCUGCCAAGAAGCA